GAGAAGGUGAAAGCCCUGUAGACGAAAUCCAGAGUGGGAAUUAGUGGUAUCCUGAGUAAUACAUCACACGUGGAACGAUGUAUGAACCCGCGCGGACCACCGCGCAAGGCUAAAUACUAGUUGGCGACCGAUAGUGAACAAGUACCGUGAGGGAAAGGUGAAAAGAACCGCUGUGAGCGGAGUGAAAUAGAACCUGAAACCGUAUGUCUACAAAGUGUCAGAGCAGAGCAAUCUGCGAUGGCGUGCCUUUUGUUUAAUGAGUCUGCGAGUCAGUGUUUGUGGCAAGACUAAGGGCUUCCGGCCCGGAGUCGCAGCGAAAGCAAGUCCGAACAGGGCGCAAUAAGUCGCAGGUACUGGACCCGAAGCGGAGGUGACCUACCCUUGGCCAGGUUGAAGCAUGGGUAAAACCAUGUGGAGGACCGAACAGGUGAACGUUGAAAAGUUCUCUGAUGAGCUGAGGGUAGGAGUGAAAGGCUAAUCAAACCCCGUGAUAGCUGGUUCUCUUCGAAAUGCAUUUAGGUGCAGCGUCACGUGCUGAUGCGCGGGGGUAGAGCACUGACAAGGCUAGGGGGCACACCCGCUUACCAAACCUUAUCAAACUCCGAAUACCGUGCAAUGGAACGUGGCAGUGAGACAGUGGGGGAUAAGCUUCAUUGUCGAGAGGGAAACAACCCAGACCAGCAGCUAAGGUGCCUAAAUAACGCUCAGUGGAAAGGAUGUGGGAUUACACAGACAGUGAGGAUGUUGGCUUAGAAGCAGCCACCAUUUAAAAAAUGCGUAAUAGCUUACUCAUCGAGUGAUCCUGCGCCGAAAAUGAUUGGCGAUCAAGCGUUAUACCGAAGCUCUGGACUUUGCCGCAAGGCAGAGUGGUAGAAGAGCGUUGCAUGCGCGUCGAAGGGCGAUGGCGACUGACCCUGGAGCACAUGCAAGUGAGUAUGCAGACAUGAGUAACGUUAAGCCGGGUGAAAUCCCCGGCCGCCGUAAACCCGAGGUUUCCAGGGCAACGUGUUUCGUCCCUGGGUUAGCCGGGACCUAAGCCGAGGCCGAGAGGCGUAGGCGAUGGACAUCAGGUUAAUAAUCCUGAGCUCGCAACCCUUAAACUGGGGGGACGCAUGAGAAAAGAUGACUAGGUUAUUGAAUUCCGAGUUGAGUCCACGGACUCAGCGCAUCAUUGGAUCGAGUGCCAAGAAAAGCCCCAGCGUAUGCUAAGCGACCCGUACCGCAAACCGACACAGGUGGGUGGGUAGAAUAUACCAAGGCGUAAGAGUGAAACCUGGUUAAGGAACUCGGCAAAUUAGCCCCGUAACUUCGGAAGAAGGGGUGCCUGCAGCGAUGCAGGCCGCAGAGAAAUGGCCCAACCGACUGUUUAUCAAAAACACAGCACUCUGCAAAGACGCAAGUCGAAGUAUAGGGUGUGACACGUGACCAAUGCCGAAAGAUUAAGGCAAGGGGUUAGCCGCAAGGCGAAGCUCUAAACCCAAGUCCCGGUGAAUGUCGGCCGUAACUAUAACGGUCCUAAGGUAGCGAAAUUCCUUGUCGGGUAAGUUCCGACCUGCACGAAUCGUGAAACGAGUUGGGCACUGUCUCAACCAGGCGCUCAGUGAAAUUGUAGUGGCGGUGAAGAUGCCGCCUACCCGCAGAAGGACGGAAAGACCCUAUAGACCUUAACUGUAAGCUGUCAUUGUUUCUUCGGUUUUAAUGCUCAGAGUAAGUGGGAGACGCUGAAGACGCCCUUUAGGGGGCGUCCGAGUCAUCAAUGAGACACCACCCUUUGAAACUGGAGGAUCUAACCCUGAGCCGUGAAUCCGGCCAGAGGACCGUGUCAGCCGGUCAGUUUUACUGGGGCGGUAUCCUCCCAAAGAGUAACGGAGGAGCGCGAAGGUGGGCUCAGCCCGGUUGGCAACCGGGUGUCGAGUGCAUGGGCAUAAGCCCGCCUAACUGUGAGACCAACAAGUCGAGCAGAUGCGAAAGCAGGCCCAAGUGAUCCGGCGGUAGAAAGUGGAAUUGCCGUCGCUCAACGGAUAAAAGGUACCUUAGGGAUAACAGGCUGAUCACGCCCAAGAGUUCAUAUCGACGGAGUGGUUUGGCACCUCGAUGUCGGCUCGUCGCAUCCUGGGGCUGGAGAAGGUCCCAAGGGUCCG
Molecule: ribosomal RNA, 2141 nt
Filed under: human gut metagenome
Description: bacterial LSU rRNA
Rfam family: Bacterial large subunit ribosomal RNA
Source: RNAcentral